Molecule: long non-coding RNA, 3699 nt
Organism: Mobula hypostoma (lesser devil ray)
Lineage: Eukaryota; Metazoa; Chordata; Chondrichthyes; Myliobatiformes; Myliobatidae
Exons: 3
Source: RefSeq, a predicted model, not a curated record
CAGGUUCAGGAGCCUGAUGGUUGAGGGGUUAUAACUGUUCCUGAACCAGGCAGGACUGCUAACUGUGCCGAUGUACACAGCUCACGGAAGGUGGCUGCACCUAGGUUAGGGUGGUAAGAAAGACAUGUGGCACACUAGCCUUUAUAUGUCAAGGAACUGAAGUCUACAGCCAGGAAGUUAAGUUGCAGCUUUGUAAAACUCUGACUGGGCCGCAGCUAGAGUUAGUGCAUUCAAUUCUGGUCAGCCUAUCUUAGGAGGAAUGUUGAGGAUCGGGAGAGGACACAGACAAGAUCUCCAGGACGUUGCCUGGAUUAGAGGGCACGUGCUAUAAGGAAAGGCAGAAGAUACAAAAUUCUGAAAGCACGUACCACCAGGCCCGAGGACAGCUUCUAUCCCACUGUCAUCAGACUCUCGAAAUGGACCUCCCGCACAAUGAGGCAUUUACAGGAAAAAAGAAAUACAACAAAAUUUUACAAAGAAGAUUCAGAUACCGACAAACAACCAAUGAGGAAAAGAAGAUAAAUUGUGAAAAAACUCAAUACUGAGAACACAAGUUGUAAAGAGUCCUUGAAAGCGACCUCUUACCUGACCUUUAACCUACCCUUCAUUCCUGGGCCAGAGAAGAUUUGGCCCUAGCACAAUGGCAAUGUUGCUGGGCGUCAUUUUGUUCACAUCCCGGUAUUCGGCCAAUUUCGCCAAAAAUUUAAUGAGAUACCUGGUUUUCCAAACAAAACAUAGAGAUUUAUUUUCUCUUGAGAUAGAUAGUCAGCCAACUGGGGUUGCCUUUGGUGGUGAGCUAUUUAACUGUGUGAGGCAUCACAAAACAAGUAAGGUGACUCUGUACAAAAGUGGGUGUGGUUUUCGUGGGCGAGUUUGGUUAGAAGGUGGGUUACAGAACUGUGACUUUCUCCUUGUGUCCCAUUUGUAGUGGAUUCUAUUAGAAGGAGUAAGAGUGAUUCCCAAACCAUACCCUCACAGGGAUGGCAAACCUACAGCACACUGGCCCAAAAUGGCACAUGCAAACAUUUUGUUAGCAUAUGGCACAAUGAGAAUAAAAGUCUACUGCCACAGUGAUGCCAAAGUCACAAUGAAGCAACACCUCAUAUUCUGCUUGAUUAGCCUCCAACCUGAUGGUAUGAAUAUUGAUUUCUCUAACUUCCACUAACUCCUGGUAACUUCCCCUUCUCUCUUUUCCCAUUUCUCAUUCUGGCUCCCCUCUUGCCUUUCUCUUCUCCUCACCUCCCUCUGGUGCCUCUCCUCCUUCCCUUUCUCCCAUGGUCCACUCUCCUCUCCUAUCCAAUUCCUUCUUCUUCAGCCCUUUACCUCUUCUACCCAUCACACCCCCCGCCCCAGUUCUUACUUCAUCCACCCUCCCCCUCACCUGGCCUCACCUAUCACCUGCCUUAUCUUCCCCCCGCCUUCUUACUCUGGCUCCUCCCUUCCUUUCCAGUCCUGAUUUAUUUAUUGAGAUAAGCCUUUCUGGCCCUUCGAGCCAAUCUCCUGAUUUAAUCCUAGCCUAAUCACGGGACAAUGACCAAUUAACCUGUCAACCGGUAGGUCUUUGAACCGUGAGGGCAAAACCAAAACACCUGGAGGAAACCUACGUGGUCAUGGGGAGAACGUACAAACUCCUUACAGGCAGCGGUGGGUAUUGAACCUGGGCCGCCUGUACCGUAAAGCGUUGUGCUAACUGCCCUGAUGAAGGGUCUCAGCCCGAAACAUUGACUCUUUAUUCCCACCAUGGAUGCUGCCUGACCAACCGAAUCUCUCCACCAUUUUGUGUGCGUUCCUCAAGAUUUCCAGCAUCUUGUGUUUACGAGAAUAAAGUGUGUUAGUCCUCCUUUUCUUGCUCUUUUAUGAAUUUGCACUAAUGCUCACAAUUCCAAUUUUCAUAUUUCUUAUGUUUUAUUUGAGGUAUAAUAACAACUUUGUUGGCGCGUGGGCAAGUGGUUAAGGCGUUCGUCUAGUGAUCUGAAGGUUGCUAGUUCGAGCCUUGGCUGAGGCAGUGUGUGUGUCCUUGAGCAAGGCACUUAACCACACAUUGCUCUGCGACGACACCGGUGCCAAGCUGUAUGGGUCCUAAUGCCCUUCCCUUGGACAACAUCGGUGGUGUGGAGAGGGGAGACUUGCAGCAUGGGCAACUGCUGGUCUUCCAUACAACCUUGCCCAGGCCUGCGCCCUGGAAACCUUGCAAGGUGCAAAUCCAUGGUCUCAUGAGACUAACGGAUGCCUAUAAACAAUAACAAUUUUACAUGUAAACUGGGUGGCAGGGUGGAGAUACGUCUCUACCAAAGGAGGUGUAAGACUGCUCCUUCCCUCCGCUAGCCUGCAGGUCACCCUUGGACAAGGUGUAGCACUUGCUUAGCCCCCCUGAUCAGGGUCACAUGAAACCAUGGGAGCAGGUGGUGGAUGGUCGUAUGAUCAGCUGGUGCAUAUCACAAGUCCUGGUUAAGCGACCACUGACGCCAGGCAGACAAUCUCUGAAGAGUAUUGAUAAUAGCUGGCAGUCACCCAUCUUGUAAAGAUGCUGUCCAGAAGAAGGCGAUGACAAAUCAAUUUUGUAGAAAAAUUUGCCAAGAACAAUCAUGGUCACGUAGACCAUGAUCACCCACAUCAUGCAACAUGGUACUUAAAGGAUGAUGACUAAAACAAUAGAAACAUAGAGUCAUAGAGUGACAUAAGCACAAAACAGGCCCUUCAGCCCAUCUAGUCAAUGCUGAACUAUUAUUCUGCCUAGUAGCAUUGAAUUGCACCUGGAUUGCUAUUUAAAAAUUAUACACACAAAAUGCUGGAGGAACUCAGGAGGCCAGGCAGCCAAUAUGGAAAAGUGUAAAUAGUCAACAUUUCAGGGUGAGACCCUUUUCUCGUUCCUGAACAAGGACCCUGAACAGAAACAUCCACUGUUUGCUCUUUUCCAUAGAUGCUGCCUGGCCUGCUGUGUGUGUGUUGCUUUGGAUUUCCAGCAAAUCUGCAGAUCUCGUGUUUGUGAUUUAAAAAUUAUGUUAUUUUUCCAUUCUCUUUUUCAAAGAUUAAUAUUAGUAAUCUUUGAAAAUGUUCUCUAAAACACUUGAUUUUAUUUCAAUCGGUCUCUGUAAUAGUUUUAUUCAUAUUAAACAAUGAAUAAGACCCAAGAUUCAUUAUUUUAAUUAUAAUUACUUAUUCACUAAUCAACGAUAAUCUCUUUGGAUAAUUACCAUAGAAUACAAGAGAACUUUCGAUCAUCGCCAAUUUGGGCGCACGAUCUCACCAAGGUUCGCCACCCCGCUCUGUCGUCAGCAUUAUGGGGGGGGGGGCUCUGUCUAAUACAAGGGCACAGCUGGUAGAGCCUGCCUCAGUGCGCCUGAGAAUCGGGUUCAAUCCUGAUCUUUGGUGCUGUCUAUGUGGAGUGUGCAUGCAGUAUACAACUCUGAGAUUCAUCUUCUCCAGACAGCCACGGAACAAAGAAAACCACGGAAGCCAUACAAAGAAAAACAUAAUUCCCCCCACACAAAAAACAAAUCGUGCAGACAACAAGAACAUCCAACCCUAACCCCUACCUGCGCAAAAACAAAUCGUGCAGACAGCAACAAAAACAUCAAACCCCCAAGCCUUCUUGGCCGCUGUAAUAAAGGCAUCCGUUAGUCUUGCGAGAACAUGGAUCUGCGCCUGGAAAGUCUUCACUCCCCAGGGCGCAGGCCUGGGCGAGGUUGUAUGGAAGAC